This 1022-nucleotide long non-coding RNA is filed under the name Olea europaea (common olive). RNAcentral's name for it is "long non-coding RNA (OEUR_LNC011075)". Lineage: Eukaryota; Viridiplantae; Streptophyta; Magnoliopsida; Lamiales; Oleaceae. The record is from RNAcentral.
UUUUUUUUUUUUUUUACUGUAAACAAUACAGGUUAUUCCAAUGCCACCAAAGAGGAAGCCACCACCCCCAAGACCUCUGAAUGGUGCUAUCACGCAGGCGUUUACUCAAUCGAGUACGUAGCCUUCACCUACCAUCUAGUCUGCACCAGCCAUUGACAUGUAGUUCUAUAAUUGUUAUUUAGUUCUUACUUCAAGUGUUUUUGUUAUUGACAUAUAUUGUUCUAACACUUGCAGCAUUCCCAAUCUAGCAUAAGCAACUUGGUCGUACUCGUGCUUAGGCACAUCCCAGAUAGUCAAGACCACUCAUAUGAAGCUCGAAAUCAUGUAUGAAGACAGCGAUGGAUGACCAACUGGUCCUAAUUCUAGUCGAUUCAUAUCUAAAAUAGGAUCUAGUGUGAGAAUAUUUGCUCAUCUCCAAAAGAUCUUUUGGAAAGAUGCGACUGAAUUUAAAAAAUCCCCUAUUUAUGAAAGGUAGCAUUAUUGUUUAACUUGUUUUGUUUCUUGUCCUAGUAGAACUUUUGCACAUCUUUUUCUUUCUUUAAACAUGUCAUUGCUGAAGGAAAGAACGAAGUUAAUAAAAAGUUAAUAUACCAGGUAUCAAAAUGAAAGGUUCUCUAAAUGAUUAGAAGUCAAUAUCUUAAUUUAAAAUAUUGGAUGUUUGCAAAUGUUCAUUGACAUGUACGCAUAUCUUGAAUGAUAUGAAUUGCUGGCAUUUUAAUUUUGGUUGCUUGGAGUAACAACUUCAUAUUCCAAUAUAUUUGUGUGAAUUUUGUGCUCGUCAUUGUAUUUUCACUCAUGCUAUGUUGCUAUAUAUAGGUUAUUUUUUAUGUACAAUAUGAUAAAUAUGCCACUCUCAAAGAGUUCAUGGAGAAAUCAAUGGCCACUUCCUUGAAGGAGUUUCGAUAUGAGCUGUACACACAUUACAAGAAGUUUCUAGACCAACCAAUGGCUCAUAGGAAAGCUAAUAAGCCUAAAGAAAUCCGACAUCAGGUUGAUUGGGAUUAUUUAAGUGACUAUUGGGA